UUUUAUAAAGUAUAUUAUUGUACAUUUAAUUUCCAAUUAAAAAGUUAAAUAUUCAUUUAUAUAAAAA
RNAcentral lists this transfer RNA (67 nucleotides) under Parevania sp. SJW-2015. RNAcentral describes it as "tRNA-Gly". The record is from RNAcentral. Lineage: Eukaryota; Metazoa; Arthropoda; Insecta; Hymenoptera; Evaniidae.